RNAcentral lists this long non-coding RNA (1059 nucleotides) under Malus domestica (apple). RNAcentral describes it as "long non-coding RNA (MDOM_LNC002139)". Lineage: Eukaryota; Viridiplantae; Streptophyta; Magnoliopsida; Rosales; Rosaceae. The record is from RNAcentral.
AAGACCAUGCAUUCACAAGUAAAUUGCACCAAAAUAAGAUAUCCCCAAGUACCAUCACUAGGGAAAAGAUGUUGAAGUUAUGGAAAGGACAAGCCCUCAUCCUAGCAAACAACAAAUUAAUGCAAAACAUUGUCAACAACCCUAUUUGGCAACAACUUCCCUUUUGGAAGAAGUUGAAGGAUCUACGAAAAUACUGGCUGAUGGAUCACCAUUGGAAGUAGAUCCUCUUCUUCGGAUGCCUCAAAGUCAGAAAUUUUGCUCAGUAAGUCUUUAAGAGCAGCGAAAUCGGCAUCCCAUAUUUUUUUCAGAAUCUGGUAGGUGUCUCAACCUCCAAAAUGAUCUUACUGCGCGUAGCCAAAUAUAUACCCAAAGUUGUACCCCUCUGCAUAUUUUUCUUCGGACGCCUUCUUGUGAGAUGCACGCACGCCCAUUAUUUCUGACUCAUGCUCAUCCUUGAGUUGUUUAAGAUUUGCAAAGCGAACUUUGUCUUUCUAUUCGAUCUAACGGCGAAGUCUUUCCACCUCUAACGGCGAACAUUGUGAGAUGCACGCACGCCCAUUGUAAGCAUUCCGCUUCGAAGACAACGUUCGAUUGAUUAAGCUUCAAGACGCAACAAAGUUUGUUCCACCUCAACUUUGGCUUUGCAUUCUAGCUCCAACUUUUCCUGCAGUUCAGCAAGAGUUGCCUUGUAUUCAUUUGCUUUAAUAUAUUCAAGAGUGGCUUCAUUUAUGCAUUUCUUUACCUCUACAUUAUGGGCUACUCUCAUAAUUUGUUGCUCUACCUAUACCCUCUUGAGCUUCGCCAAUUGAGCUUGCACUUGUUGCUUGAGCUGUAUUUGGCCUCUGAUUCAUGCAAGGAAAACCGCUUAAGAUGACAAAUUCACUUCGCUUGGCCAAAAAGAGUCGCCUCUGUCCAGACAUGAGUCUGACCAAUGCAAGUAAAGGAAAGGAAAAACAAAAUUACCAAAGUUAUUUUGUAAGAAAAGAAUGAAGGAUUACCUCAUAUCGACUUUCGUGACAUCGCAUCAUGGCGUCUUCAAAGGACGUGCGAGCUUCCUAG